RNAcentral lists this ribosomal RNA (454 nucleotides) under uncultured bacterium. RNAcentral's name for it is "bacterial SSU rRNA". It matches the Rfam family "Bacterial small subunit ribosomal RNA", at positions 340 to 786 of the family's 1533-position model. The record is from RNAcentral.
UACGGAAGGCAGCAGUGGAGAAUAUUGCACAAUGGGCGCAAGCCUGAUGCAGCCAUGCCGCGUGUAUGAAGAAGGCCUUCGGGUUGUAAAGUACUUUCAGUCGUGAGGAAGGUGUUAAGGUUAAUAACCUUAGCAAUUGACGUUAGCGACAGAAGAAGCACCGGCUAACUCCGUGCCAGCAGCCGCGGUAAUACGGAGGGUGCGAGCGUUAAUCGGAAUUACUGGGCGUAAAGGGCACGCAGGCGGUUAAUUAAGUUGGAUGUGAAAUCCCCGGGCUUAACCUGGGAAUGGCAUUCAAGACUGGUUAGCUAGAGUCUUGUAGAGGGGGUAGAAUUCCAUGUGUAGCGGUGAAAUGCGUAGAGAUGUGGAGGAAUACCGGUGGCGAAGGCGGCCCCUGGGACAAAGACUGACGCUCAUGUGCGAAAGCGUGGGGAGCAAACAGGGAUUAGAUACC